Molecule: ribosomal RNA, 253 nt
Filed under: uncultured bacterium
Lineage: Bacteria
Description: partial 16S ribosomal RNA
Rfam family: Bacterial small subunit ribosomal RNA
Source: RNAcentral
UACGGAGGGUGCAAGCGUUAUCCGGAUUUACUGGGUUUAAAGGGUGCGUAGGUGGGUUGGUAAGUCAGUGGUGAAAUACUUUCGCUUAACGAAGGAACUGCCAUUGAUACUACCAGUCUUGAAUACAGUGGAGGUAGGCGGAAUGCGUCAUGUAGCGGUGAAAUGCUUAGAUAUGACAUAGAACACCAAUUGCGAAGGCAGCUUGCUACAGGGAUAUUGACACUGAGGCACGAAAGCGUGGGGAUCAAACAGG